This 656-nucleotide long non-coding RNA is filed under the name Marmota monax (woodchuck). The record is from RNAcentral. Lineage: Eukaryota; Metazoa; Chordata; Mammalia; Rodentia; Sciuridae.
GUAUUAUUUAAAUCAGUCACGUAACUUGGUUCUAACUCAAUUCUCUGGGAACUUAAGAAAUCAGCAUGUGCAAGAGUGUCAAAUAUAAAAUGGGCCCUACAUGCAGAUUAGGUUGCUCAUUUUUCUUUUGUAAUCGUUUUUCUGUGGUGAUCUGGGAAUGCAGAGAGACUUAAAAAGUCGCAGUUGCAGCAGUGGCAGAACUUUUGUUUUGAUUGUCAACUCUGUGCUUGUGUUUCCUUAAGCCUAGUCUGUUCAGAUAAUUACAGCAUCUUCCAAAGUCAGAGCCACAGGCAGUGGCCCAAAGCACCAGACUGAUUACUGGUCUCUUCCAACAGAAAGGCUCAGGCUCUGCCACAUACAGACAGAGCUAUGCAUUCUAUUCUAAGCCAUGAUAGUUGUCGGGCGUUCUGGGGGCAGGAAGCAGUAUCUCUGUGUGUAUGUCCUGUGUAUUCUUGGUCUCCUCUCUGCUGGCGGGCCUCCUCCACCUCCCACUCCCAGGCCUUCCUUCCUCAUACUCACUGUCUCAUCAUGGUCCAGCCCGACUCUCUACGACCUCUUGGUUCUGUGCCCACACUUGCAGCAACUUCCUCUGUCUCUUUAAUUCAUAUUGCUGAAAACAAGAUAAUUCACUUGUCCCACUUGACUUUUCAAGCCAU